This is a non-coding RNA of Paramuricea clavata, 565 nucleotides long. NCBI's taxonomy places the organism in Eukaryota, Metazoa, Cnidaria, Anthozoa, Malacalcyonacea, Plexauridae. The record is from the annotation of a GenBank genome assembly.
CCUGCUGCACGCUGUGUGUCAAGGAAUCCGUCUCGAUAUUCUUCAACAAAACGCCUUAAAUAGUGAAACGAAAUCGCUCAACACGUCGAAUCCUUUUUGCUUAUCCCUUCAAACAUAUGCUGUGGGAAGUUUACUGCGAUAAAACGGCUCGAACAACGAUUACUUUGAGCUAUAUCUUACGCCUGUAUGGGACAUUAAGCUUACGCUCCAGGAAUUUAUACGCCUAGCAUGUUGACUUUAAAAUGGUUUAUGCCAGUUUAGACUUUAGAAAUAUCUGUGUUAGCGUUGGUCAAGAAUGUACGAUAUAUGAUGUGGUUUUUACACGGGAAUGGAUCGAAAAGCUUAAUACAAUAUCUAUUUGAGUUCGCUAACAAUAGCUGGGUUUUCAAGCAAAGAUUUUGUAAUACAGUAUUGGGUAUGGUCACUCGUGGCAAUUUGGUAUUAAGGCAUGGUAUUACUGGAUGCAUUUUGGUUGGAGAAUGUUUAAGAUCACGAAUGCAUUUCUAAAUGUGAUCGGAGUUGUCUCAGUAAAAACAUCCUUUGGAUGAAAAUCAAAUACACAGAC